GGCUUCGGGAAGGAGGCGGGGCCAUGGGGAAACCCGAGCUUGGCUGCCAGAGCUGUUCUCUCCGGCGUCGCCUGUGCGUCGUCCUCUGCUAUUCUUCAGUCCUUGGCGCUCUGCUCCUUCCCUCCAGAAGUGGCUCUCACGUUUUCGUCUGCUCUGCUACCUGCUCUUCCCCGUUCGGACUGGAGGAAAGCGGCUCUAACACGAAAGGACACCUUUCUUCACAGGAAUUUAAGUAGCUCAAAUUGCACACGUGAAAUCGAUAGAGAAGACGACUCCCAGGGGUCCUGCUGGGCAUUCAUCAAGUCUGUCCUAGAUCACAGUUGCAGAGGGGGAAGAGCUCAGCGGUGGAACCCGACUGAAAGGAAAUGAGAAGCCCUGCAUUGCUGCAUCUUCAAGACGUGGGUCCCUGUACCUCCUGCAAGGGUGCUGGCCUCAGUAAACCAGGGUCUUACUGUGUAUCUCAGGCCGUCCUUGAAUGUGAAAUCAUCUUUCCUUGGCCUCUCACAUGCUGGAAUUACAGAUGGGUACCACCAUGGGAAGUCCUAUUACAUGCUGUUUUGCAAAGUACAUGCAGGCUUAGAACACUGUAUACAUAAUAAAUAAAUAAAUCUUUAAAAAAAAAAAUCAAGAGAAUCCAGGCAUGCUAGAGAACUUACAAUUGAAAAUAGCGUAGUCAUCUUCAACAUCAGUGCUUGCUGCAGAAGCAUGAGAACCUGAGUUCAAUACUCCAGGCCAUAUCCAGCACCCAUGUGAAAAACUGGGUGUGGUGUUCCUCAUCUGGAAUCCCAGCAAUGAUGAGGGUAGAGACAAAAGGAUUUCUCCAGCAAGACUAGCCAGGUGAGUUAGUUCUAGGUACCCUAUCUCAAAAAAAAACUAACAUGGAGAGUAAUUUCAGAAGAUAUCUGUGUUUUGUAAGUUUCCUCAUAGAUUAAAACAUUCUAUCCUGCAGGAAGCUUCUUAAGCAGGGAGGUAAGCAACUAAAAUAGUUUCAGGAAGUCCCUGAAGCUGACCAGAUUCAACUAGACCUCUUCCUGUCAGAGUAAGCAAUAAAAGCUGAGAUGUUCCUCUCAGAGAAGUGAAACCAAGCUCCAAAGAAGACUCUCGGAGCAGACCAGCUGCCUGGAAGAAGCAGAAACCAGCCAAGGUGCCUAUAGACCAACUGAGGCUGGAAAGAACACUCCAACUGUUGAGGUGCCUGCAGGCCAUGCUGUGUGUUCCAGGUUCCCAUGAGCUGUAACCCACGCUGGGGUAGUCUUUGGUGGCUCUGAGUCAUUUCUGCUCCUGUGAGUAAACCCAGUAAAACACAUUGGUCCAUCA
Molecule: long non-coding RNA, 1317 nt
Organism: Psammomys obesus (fat sand rat)
Lineage: Eukaryota; Metazoa; Chordata; Mammalia; Rodentia; Muridae
Exons: 2
Source: RefSeq, a predicted model, not a curated record